This 144-nucleotide unclassified non-coding RNA is filed under the name uncultured fungus. Its description in RNAcentral is "sequence contains ITS1, 5.8S rRNA gene". Lineage: Eukaryota; Fungi. The record is from RNAcentral.
CCGUAGGGGCUCCGGCCCCUGCCGAGAUUGCACCCCUUGUCUUUGGAGCACCGUACGUUUCCUCGGCAGGCUCGCCUGCCAACGGGGACACCAACCAAACCCUUUGCAGUAGUUGCAGUAAACGUCGAAAAACAAACAAAAUCA